Dendroctonus ponderosae (mountain pine beetle) is the source of this 1429-nucleotide RNA transcript. It is a transcript of the gene named zinc finger protein 674, with no coding region annotated. Lineage: Eukaryota; Metazoa; Arthropoda; Insecta; Coleoptera; Curculionidae. The record is from RefSeq and is a predicted model, not a curated record. The transcript is spliced from 4 exons.
AAUCACAGGUCUUAAUUUAGCCUGUGUUAAGUGCCAAGUACAUGUACACUAUCAUAGAAUAUCUCCCCUAAUAUAAUAAUAUAAAAAUAAAUUAUAAGGGAGGAUGUUCUGUGUACACAAUCACAGUUAAAGACAAGUAAACACAGUGACUGACUACUCACUAUUCUGUUAGUCGGUGCACAGGCAAAUGAAAGAAGGACACCUGAAAACAUAUUGAUAUAAAAUAAUGACAUUGUUUCAAUGGAAGUGAAUCCUGUUAACUUGGACGAAGAAACAGAACAACAUUCGCAUACUAGUAAUUCAUCUGAGAUGAAAAAUCGUCUGGCAAGCGCAGAAAAACAUCGGUGAAUCAGUUUGCUGCAAGAAGGAAAUUUAAUGGAACAAUAUAUGCAAUGUACCCGAAAUAUCAGAGGAACAAUCUGGUAGUAACAUAGGAUAACGAAUAGUUUCUCGCAUGUUGUAAAAUAGAUGGGUCCGCUAAAAUCGGACAAUAAUUGAUAUUCUGGCAAAUGAUUUUCAGAAAGGAUUUUUUUAAGAUCAUUUAAAGCAAUCAGAUUACAUUCUACUACGAAUUCCACUCCCGACAAACUCAUUUAACACUUCCAGAGUCGGCCCAAGAACCGUUGCAAGUCAAUGGCAAAACUGAUUCAAAAGAAGAAAAUUCGAAAACAUUUAUUCGUCUAAAGAACGUUCCAUGUGUUAAUCAGGAAAAUGAAAGCAACACAAAUAGUUCGCCUAUUUCAAACCUACCUAUAAUCAAUGUUGAAACAACGCCUCAGGUGAAAACAAACAACUUACUACCUUGCCAGUUGUAUCGAAGAAUCGAAAAACAUGUUGAUAUUCUAUUGAAUCCUGAGGAAAUACCCGUAUAUGAAUUUUAUGAUGAAGAUGAAGAAAAAAAGAAAAUCGAACAAAGAAAGAAAGAUCGGGAACUGAGAGAAAUUAAAAAUCGCACUUGCAUUCAUUGUCGCAAAAUAUUUCCUGAUGCAAUGGAUGUACUCCGCCAUAAAAGAGUGGCUCAUCCGACCAAAAGAAUAAUUUUACAGCGAGAAGAAAUUCAACGCUACAUGGCUGUAGAAGACAGAAAACAGUGUCCAGUAUGUUUUAUCAAAAUAUGCCCGAAAGGUUACAAAUCUAAAUACGUAAAACACUUGCUGACUCAUUGCAUUGAUUACAAGUUUGUUUGUCGUGUGUGUGGGAUGAAAUUUCGAAGAUGCAACCAUCAGAAAGAUCACGAGUCAAGGCAUAUAGUACCCCCAGAAAAAGUCGAAUGAUAUGCGAGUUAUUUAAGCAUUUCAAAAAAUGUGUGUAUUUGUUUUCAAUUGUCUUACUAAUCGUAACAAUACGUUAUGUAAAUGUAACGUAAUGGAAAUACAUAGACAUAUAUACAUUACAGUUUCUAAAUAUAACAGCCAAACGGAAACGCCAA